Molecule: long non-coding RNA, 616 nt
Organism: Monodelphis domestica (gray short-tailed opossum)
Lineage: Eukaryota; Metazoa; Chordata; Mammalia; Didelphimorphia; Didelphidae
Source: Ensembl
ACCCAGUCUUUUUUUUCUUAUUUUUUCACAUUAAUUUUUUUUCUUUUAAAAAUGUUCUCUUCUCCAUUAGUAGCGGUGUAAUAUCCCUGAACAAUCUGCAGGGAUCUAGGAGAAAAAAACACUAUUCAUAAGCAAAGAAUAAACUAUGGGAAUAGAAACACUGAGGAAAAGCAACUGCCUGACUACAGCGGUUGAGGGGACAUGACAGAGGAGAGACUCCAAACGAAACUCUAAUGCAAAUAUUAACAACAUAGAAAUGGGUUCGAAUCAAGAACACAUGUGACACCCAGUGGAAUCACGCGUCGGCUAUGGGGGGUGGGGGGGAGGAAAAGAAAAUGAUCUUUGUCUUUAAUGAAUAAUGCUUGGAAAUGAUCAAAUAAAAUAUUAUUUUUUAAAAAAAGACAAAAAAAUGUUCUUUAUUCCUAGCUGUGUGACCCUGGGCAAGUCCCUUAACACCCACUGCCUAGUCCUCACCACUCUUCUGCUUUGGAACCAAUACACAGUUUUGAUUCUAAGACAAAAGGUAAAACCAGAAGAUAUAAAGAUAUGGCAGCUAAAUGGAAAGACCCCUCACUUCUCCUUAGAAACAUCAAGGGGUCAAUGGAAAUGUCAUUAG